RNAcentral lists this ribosomal RNA (410 nucleotides) under Enterobacter sp. RNAcentral describes it as "bacterial SSU rRNA". It matches the Rfam family "Bacterial small subunit ribosomal RNA", at positions 50 to 456 of the family's 1533-position model. The record is from RNAcentral. Lineage: Bacteria; Pseudomonadati; Pseudomonadota; Gammaproteobacteria; Enterobacterales; Enterobacteriaceae.
AACACAUGCAAGUCGGGCGGUAGCACAGAGGAGCUUGCUCCUUGGGUGACGAGCGGCGGACGGGUGAGUAAUGUCUGGGGAUCUGCCCGAUGGAGGGGGAUAACUACUGGAAACGGUAGCUAAUACCGCAUAAUCUCGCAAGAGCAAAGUGGGGGACCUUCGGGCCUCACACCAUCGGAUGAACCCAGAUGGGAUUAGCUAGUAGGUGGGGUAACGGCUCACCUAGGCGACGAUCCCUAGCUGGUCUGAGAGGAUGACCAGCCACACUGGAACUGAGACACGGUCCAGACUCCUACGGGAGGCAGCAGUGGGGAAUAUUGCACAAUGGGCGCAAGCCUGAUGCAGCCAUGCCGCGUGUAUGAAGAAGGCCUUCGGGUUGUAAAGUACUUUCAGCGGGGAGGAAGGCGAUG